Molecule: ribosomal RNA, 355 nt
Filed under: uncultured bacterium
Lineage: Bacteria
Description: bacterial SSU rRNA
Rfam family: Bacterial small subunit ribosomal RNA
Source: RNAcentral
AGAAGUUUGAUCCUGGCUCAGGACGAACGCUGGCGGUGCGCCUUAUGCAUGCAAGUCGAGCGAAGCUUUUCAGUAGUUUACUACAGAAAAUGACUGAGCGGCGAACGGGUGAGUAACGCGUGAGCAAUCUACCUUAGUUACAGGGAUAGCCCGAGGAAACUCGGAUUAAUACCUGAUAUUCUUUUUAUCUCGCAUGAGAUUUUAAGGAAAGGUCAGCCGAACUAAGAUGAGCUCGCGUUCUAUCAGCUAGUUGGUGAGGUAAUAGCUCACCAAGGCUACGACGGAUAGCUGGUCUGAGAGGACGAUCAGCCACACUGGGACUGAGACACGGCCCAGACUCCUACGGGAGGCUGCA